Clupea harengus (Atlantic herring) is the source of this 4050-nucleotide long non-coding RNA. The record is from Ensembl. Lineage: Eukaryota; Metazoa; Chordata; Actinopteri; Clupeiformes; Clupeidae.
CUGUCGUUAUAAAGCGGCAGAUAAUGUGAAGCGGUGGCUAACUUCACUGUCGUUAUAAAGCGGCAGAUACUGUUGAGUCAUUGGCUCUUCAGGACUCCACCCACACCAAGGGGUCAAGGGUCAAUGAAUGACUUUAUCUUCUUCCACUUCCUGAAACCCUCAUUGACUCAUCUCAGUCCUUUGUCUGGCCUCUGAUUGAAGUCCAAUGUCUAAUUUGCACUUUUUGAGUUUUGACAAGGCCAUGUCGGACAUGCUUCUGAAUUAGCUGCUGUCUACCAAGCGAGUUUUAUGUUUUUAUGUUUAUGGCCUUUUGCGAGUUUUUAUUCCCUGUUAACUGUCACAAUGGUUGGUUUCUCCGUGAGCUUAAGGCACGGGAUUGAUGGAGAGAGAGAGAGAGCGUCAGGGAGAAGACUGGUGCCACAGGGGUUGCCUCGCGAGGUUAAUGAACAUUUUAAUAUCAAAGAUACGAGAUGAUCCACACGCUAACCCCGCCCGCUGCUCCAGACGGGCGGAAUGGGAAAUGGCGUUUUCCGUUUAUUGCUUUUUGCCGCCCCCGCUUAGAAGGGUCUGUAAAAUGUCACCUCCCUCCCUUGUCUCUCUGCGGGGUGUGUGUGAGAGUGAAAUGAGGAAUAACUGUAGCGAGCGUUUGGGGUUUGUUAUGUAGCUAUACUCUCUAAGUCAUCUGCAGCUGCUGGCCUGGCCAUUGGGACCCAAGGGGAACCAAUCUUUUAUUUAAUUCAUUGUUUUAUUUUAUUGAGCAACUGAGUAAUGGAAACAAUUUCAUUACUACGGAGAAGCACCUCAUUCACUCUUUAUUGUGUGUGUGUGUGCGUGUGUGUGUGCGUGUGUGUGUGUGUGUGUGUGUGUGUGUGUGUGUGUGUGUGUUUCACAUUCUGGCCUUUAUUGUAUUUGGAACUCCAAUGUGAAUGACAAUUAAAUGUGAAAUAUCUAAUCUCACGCACUUAGUGUGGGGAGAAAGGACUGAGUCAGGAGAAAAUAAACGGUAUUAAAAACAAAACAACAAAAAAAAACACAAAAGCACUUUCUGAACGACCUUGAUGGUGCGUUUCCUGUUUUCUGGUGCUUGCACUUCUGCCAAGGAGAGAGGGAGAGAGGGAGAGAGAGCUUAGUGGUGAAUGAUGGGUUUUUUGAAAAGGCACAAAAUAUAUUUCUAGAUGAAUCUACAAUGGCCUGGGUUCUGCACAGCAGAUGUGGUGUUCCCUCCCUUCAAAAUGAGCUUUUUAACACACGGAGUGUGUGUGUGUGUGUGUGUGUGUGUGUGUGAAAGCCCUACCUUCAUUUGCAAAGGCAAAGUCUCGCUUAAUGUCAGUUUCUCAUUUGUGCAAGGCAACAUCGUGCCAGUUUAUGUGUUUGUGCUGGUUUGGCUGAAGAUGGGGGCAGCUGCUAGUGGAGGCUGGUGCUGAUCGUUGCUGUAGCCGUGCGGCCUUAGCGUUAAGCUACAUGAGGUUUGCAGUAAAUAUCAGCUCUUUUGUUUGUGUGUGUGUGUGUGUGUGUGUGUGUGUGUGUAUGUGUGUGUAUGUGUGUGUAUGUGUGUGUGUGUGUGUGUGUGUGUGUGUAUAUGUGUGUGUGUGUGUGUGUGUGUGUGUGUAUAUGUGUGUGUGUGUGUGUGUGUGUGUGUGUGGUAAUAGGCCACAGCAGCGGGACUCUAGUCAUAUGAGCUUGUUAAUGUUUUUUUUCUGUCUUUUGUUCACUUCAUUAGGGCUCAUUUUGAAAGCAGCGUUGCGUCGGCGAGGUGUUGUGAUAAUUGUAACGUGGUGUUUUACAAGACGGUGCACAUUAAGAUCACGCCGAGAUUAACAGGUGCGUAAUGCUACAACUCUGUAAAAAGAUGACGUGAGAUUAACAGGUGCGUAAUGCUACAACUCUGUAAAAAGAUGACGUGAGAUUAACAGGUGCGUAAUGCUACAACUCUGUAAAAAGAUGACGUGAGAUUAACAGGUGCGUAAUGCUACAACUCUGUAAAAAGAUGACGGUGAGAUUAACAGUGCGCAAUUACCAAAUAUGGUAAUUUACCGAAACACGGUCUGUCUGGGCAAUUUAACAAAUAAUUACUAUGGCCUUUUUAGGUACUGAGCAACGACAUGGUACAAGCAUUCGAUUUAGACAGCGUCUUUCCUCAGUAGAAGGAAAACAUUCCGUAAUGUUUUAGCUAGACCUCAGUGGCGCUGGACCUCAGAUAAUAUGAACGUGUUCACCGUUCAAAUUCAUUAUUUGUCAUGAAGUUGCGUUCAGUUCAUCGUUCUCAUAAAAAUGAACGUGUUCUUUUGAACGCGUUCAUGCACAACACUGAAUGCUACACCUCUGUAAAAAGAUGACGGUGAGAUUAACAGGUCUCUCUCUACACCUCUGUAAAAAGAUGACGGUGAGAUUAACAGGUGCAUUAUGCUACAGCUCUGUAAAAAGAUGACGGUGAGAUUAACAGGUCUCUCUCUACACCUCUGUAAAAAGAUGACGGUGAGAUUAACAGGUGCAUUAUGCUACAGCUCUGUAAAAAGAUGACGGUGAGAUUAACAGGUCUCUCUCUACACCUCUGUAAAAAGAUGACGGUGAGAUUAACAGGAGCGUAAUGCUACAUCUCUGUAAAAAGAUGACGGUGAGAUUAACAGGUCUCUCUCUACACCUCUGUAAAAAGAUGACGGUGAGAUUAACAGGUGAGAUUAACAGGGGCGUAAUGCUACACCUCUGUAAAAAGACGCCUGGUACAAACAAAGUCGGGAUAGCUGUGGAGUACAAACAGACUAAACACUAAACUACUGAUAGCUGUUGAGUACAAACAGACUAAACACUAAACUGCUGAUAGCUGUUGAGUAUAAACAGAUUAAACACUAAACACAUAAACUACUGAUAGCUGUUGAGUAUAAACAGAUUAAACUACUGAUAGCUGUGGAGAAUAAACAGAUUAAACAGAUUAAACACCUAAACUACUGAUAGCUGUUGAGUAUAAACAGAUUAAACUACUGAUAGCUGUUGAGUAUAAACAGAUUAAACACUAAACAUCUAAACUACUGAUAGCUGUUGAGUAUAAACAGAUUAAACUACUGAUAGCUGUUGAGUAUAAACAGAUUAAACUACUGAUAGCUGUGGAGUAUGAACAGAUUAAACAGAUUAAACACUAAACACAUAAACUACUGAUAGUGGUGGAGGAGGAGUAUAAACAGAUUAAACAUCUAAACUACUGAUAGCUGUUGAGUAUAAACAGAUUAAACUACUGAUAGCUGUGGAGUAUAAACAGAUUAAACUACUGAUAGCUGUGGAGUAUGAACAGAUUAAACAGAUUAAACACUAAACACAUAAACUACUGAUAGUGGUGGAGGAGGAGUAUAAACAGAUUAAACAUCUAAACUACUGAUAGCUGUGGAGAAUAAACAGAUUAAACACAUAAACUACUGAUAGCUGUGGAGUACACUGUGCUGACAAACUUUGAAAACAAAAAACGUCGAAAGUAAAAGUUGGAAGCUCUGACAGGCUUCAAGCUCAGCAGGUUUUCUUUUGCUGUCAUACACACUGUCACACACUUCCGUCUCUGUCAUACACACUGUCACACACUUCCUUCACUGUCAUACACAGUCACACACUUUUUUCUCUGUCAUACACACUGUUACACACACUUUUUUUCUCUCUCCCCUGCCACUUAUGAAAGGGAGGAUAGGGUAGAGUCGACUCACUGCUGUGGUUGGCCAGAGAAUAAAGUCUUUUUUAUUGAAGUGGUUCUUAAUGUAUUUUGAAUAACACUAUAGAGAUGAGUUUAUCACAUGCUCUCUCACAUGUCCAGGCCAGAACUCUCCUCACAGUUAAAAAGUGUCUUUGAAAGCGAGACGCCAAUGUCUCCAACUUGAAAAGGGCACCUGGGAAGGGAAGGGCCUUUGAUGAUAAUGACAGGCACGUUUCAGCGCCUCCCAAAUACCCACACUCCGCUGCUUCCUGCGCCAGCCUCAUUUUACAGGAGAAGUGAAAGAGGAGGAGGGGAAAAAACAAAAGAAGAAAAGAGUGGAGGAGAGAAAAAGUGGCGGAGGGAGGGAGUGAUGGAGU